RNAcentral lists this small RNA (150 nucleotides) under Chrysemys picta bellii (western painted turtle). RNAcentral describes it as "TUC338 (ENSCPBG00000013961.1)". The record is from RNAcentral. Lineage: Eukaryota; Metazoa; Chordata; Testudines; Emydidae.
UUGACAACCCUGGAGACUGGAGUCCUCUUUGUAUCCAGAGAACAGGCGGGCAGUGGCGGGGCAAGUUUCCAGAGACUGCCCUGCUGGUGCGUCUCACUCCUGACCCAGCUUGGAGAGGGGAGUCCAUGCUCCAUUCAGUCCUUGGCCUCU